Molecule: long non-coding RNA, 1742 nt
Organism: Anopheles arabiensis
Lineage: Eukaryota; Metazoa; Arthropoda; Insecta; Diptera; Culicidae
Exons: 3
Source: RefSeq, a predicted model, not a curated record
ACUCUCUACUCCUUGAGCUUCUCCUCUUGAGAGUUUCUGCGGUAAAGGUUCCCCUUCCAUCUGCAUAGCCCCCCGAAAGCCUGGGGAAACUAGCUGGAAGCCAGUCGCUGUGAGGCGCGAACUUUUGCCAAAGGGAUCUCGAAGGCGGAGUUCCUGGCGGUGUUAGUGAAGCGGGGCUUAGUUCGAAUUGCUGCUCGUCUCCACGGCGGACCCAGGCACCAGCUACCUUCGCGGCUGGUCGGUGCGGCGGAGAGGUCGGGCAACAUGCGUCGUUGAUUGCGGAAAGUUCUGAAGAUAGGUUGAGAGGUUUCGAAGAAUUGCAGGUGUACACGGAAGCGAAAUGUUCUGCAAAACCUUUGCAGAGGUCAUCUUCACCCGAAAUGAUGUUUCCCUUGAAGUUCAUUACAGCUGGAAGACGGUCGCAUGAUUUCUUAUUUCGUAUGAAUUUCCAGAAUGCUAGUGGAUCCUUUUUGAAUCUGAAUUCGAUCUUUCUAAUGUACCCAGAUAGCAAAGCCGAAGGCCUUUGUAUGGGAGCCAUCGUCCCAACCAGCAAAACCGAAGCUAUUGGAAAACUUUCCUGUGUGCCAAAGCGAGAGAGCAUGUCUUCUUUCUCUAGAUUUUGGACGGCACAACGCCGAUCGUGUGGCCUAUGAACGAAAAAUGGGAGAAGGGGAAACCGAUAUCCUUCGAGUGACACACACGCAUGCAUCUGCAUGCGUAUUCCGCUGAACCGAGACUACACAUCUCUCUCGAUCUCCCAUGAUUUUUCUGCUAUGGCGCUCAUCCGGGUGUUAGGCAUCCUCAGUCUGUCCAGAACUUUCACUGUGGAAGGAUGUGUAGGAGUGAUGUGUGAUUUCUUGUGCCCCGUACUUUGCUCGUUUACGUUUUGUGUCGUAGUCCUUCUUCUUCAAUUAUGGAAUGAUUUAUCCUUGUAAAUUUCUAAGUUACAGGUGCACGCGCAUGUUAAUCGACGGUUGCCAACAUCUCGCAAAACGAUCGACGGAAGGAAAACGGUGUCCGGUUUUAAAAUAUCAAGAUUUCAUCACAGCUCUUUCGUAGAAGAGCGCACUUCAUGGACGCCUAGGAUACGGCUAAACAUGCGCAGCACCAGUCCGUGACGUCAUUUCCAGACAGGCGCCGGCUGAACACGCGCAGCACCAGUCGAGGAUGUCCUAGCGAGAAGGGCAGAAGGAGGAACGAGAGGAAGGGUAACGGAACCGCUACAAUUGUAGGGGGUGAAGCAUCCAGCCGUGUACAGAGUGUGAGUGUGCCAAAACGCAUGUGGAAAGCGGAGGUCCAAUAAAUAGCAUGCGAAAGUGUGCAUAAAGCAAAAAGAAAAAGCGUCACUACUACAACCAGCAAUCCGAAAAUAUAAGGGGAGGGAUAAAUACAAAUGUAUGCGUAAGCAGGACCAGCAAUCCAAGCAUUUGAAUGUGUGCGUCGGUUUGUGCCGUGCUGAAAGUUUUUACUUUAGCUGCUGCUAGUGUAAAAACUUAAGGAAAGCUUAAAAUUUUUUACACGGGGCGCCUUCGGAAAUUGCUGGCUGGGGUGCUGAUCAAGGCUCACUUUUUCGCGCGCAUAAAGCAAAAUGUGCGCGAAGGCGAAAAAAACCCGAAAGCGCUUCGUGUCCUCUCUCGUGUUUCUAGUUUUAUUCUCUCUCGCAUGUCAUCACUCUCUCCCAGUUUUUCGGAUUGAAAUGAGAAUUCACUCUCCUGAUUUGGUUGCGGCAGUCUAGCUGCUUC